GUACACGCUGUGACUAGCAUAUCAAUAAGCGGAGGAAAAGCAUAACAUGUAUACCUACGCUUAGGAUGUUGACACACGCGCAUGCUCGACUCUAUACAUGACUCUGUGCAUAUCAAUAAGCGGAGGAAAAGAAACUAACAAGGAUUCCCUUAGUAACGGCGAGUGAAGCGAGAAGAGCUCAAAUUUGAAAUCUUCAAGGUUUUACCUUGACGAAUUGUAGUUUAAAGAAGUGUUUUUCUGUUACGAUUCGGUAAUAAGUUCUUUGGAAUAGGACAUCACAGAGGGUGAGAAUCCCGUCUAUGAUUGCCAUAUUUGUAGCUUUGUGAUACACUUUCAAAGAGUCGGGUUGUUUGGGAAUGCAGCCCAAAACGGGAGGUAAAUUUCUUCUAAGGCUAAAUAUUGGCGAGAGACCGAUAGCGAACAAGUACCGUGAGGGAAAGAUGAAAAGAACUUUGAAAAGAGAGUUAAAUAGUACGUGAAAUUGUCAAAAGGGAAGCGUUUAACACCAGUGUUGUUUUCUGAAAAUCAACCUCUGUUAGCUUUAUGCAUGUUUGUUUAGACCUAAUCAGCUAUCUUUCAUGUUCUAUUGUUUGCAGUGGUGCACUUUUCAGUUUACAGGUCAACAUCAGUUUUUUUUACCGUAAAAAAGUUAAAGAAAGGUAGCUCAUGGCUCCGGUCGUGAGUGUUAUAGUCUUUUUCCUAUGCGGUAGGAGAGACUGAGGUCUGCAGUGUAGGCUAUUUGGCUAGAUACUCAGGUGCUAUGUGAUACCAUUUCAUAAACAACUUGUUGAUUAUGUUUUUGUCUAUUGCAUACUCGCUUGUACUAUCAUACCUACGCUUAGGAUGUUGAGUAGCGACAUACGCAC
RNAcentral lists this ribosomal RNA (866 nucleotides) under uncultured Neocallimastigales. Its description in RNAcentral is "partial large subunit ribosomal RNA". It matches the Rfam family "Eukaryotic large subunit ribosomal RNA", at positions 1 to 649 of the family's 3401-position model. The record is from RNAcentral. Lineage: Eukaryota; Fungi; Neocallimastigomycota; Neocallimastigomycetes; Neocallimastigales.